Molecule: ribosomal RNA, 230 nt
Filed under: uncultured bacterium
Lineage: Bacteria
Description: partial 16S ribosomal RNA
Rfam family: Bacterial small subunit ribosomal RNA
Source: RNAcentral
AAAGCGUGCGCAGGCGGUUAUGUAAGACAGAUGUGAAAUCCCCGGGCUCAACCUGGGAACUGCAUUAGUGACUGCAUAGCUGGAGUACGGCAGAGGGGGAUGGAAUUCCGCGUGUAGCAGUGAAAUGCGUAGAUAUGCGGAGGAACACCGAUGGCGAAGGCAAUCCCUUGGGCCUGUACUGACGCUCAUGCACGAAAGCGUGGGGAGCAAACAGGAUUAGAUACCCUUGU